GAUGAACGCUAGCGAUAGGCCUAACACAUGCAAGUCGAGGGGCAGCACAAGGGUAGCAAUACUCUGGUGGCGACCGGCGCACGGGUGAGUAACACGUAUGCAACCUACCUUUAACAGGGGAAUAACUCGAAGAAAUUCGGACUAAUACCCCAUAACACAGGGCUCCCGCAUGGGAAUAUUUGUUAAAGCCCCGAUAACUAUCGGGACGGUUGAAGAUGGGCAUGCGUUCCAUUAGCUAGUUGGUGAGGUAACGGCUCACCAAGGCAACGAUGGAUAGGGGAACUGAGAGGUUUAUCCCCCACACUGGAACUGAGACACGGUCCAGACUCCUACGGGAGGCAGCAGUGAGGAAUAUUGGUCAAUGGAGGCAACUCUGAACCAGCCAAGUCGCGUGAAGGAUGAAGGUCUUAUGGAUUGUAAACUUCUUUUGUACAGGAAUAAAGUGCGUCACGUGUGAUGUUUUGCAUGUACUGUACGAAUAAGGAUCGGCUAACUCCGUGCCAGCAGCCGCGGUAAUACGGAGGAUCCGAGCGUUAUCCGGAUUUAUUGGGUUUAAAGGGUGCGCAGGCGGAAUGUUAAGUCGGCGGUGAAAUUUUGCAGCUCAACUGUAAAAGUGCCUUCGAAACUGGCCUUCUUGAGUAUGGAUGAAGUAGGCGGAAUUUGUGGUGUAGCGGUGAAAUGCAUAGAUAUCACGAGGAACUCCGAUUGCGAAGGCAGCUUACUAAACCAUAACUGACGCUCAUGCACGAAGGCGUGGGGAUCGAA
RNAcentral lists this ribosomal RNA (765 nucleotides) under uncultured bacterium. RNAcentral's name for it is "bacterial SSU rRNA". It matches the Rfam family "Bacterial small subunit ribosomal RNA", at positions 28 to 772 of the family's 1533-position model. The record is from RNAcentral.